This 333-nucleotide long non-coding RNA is filed under the name Cricetulus griseus (Chinese hamster). RNAcentral's name for it is "lncRNA (ENSCGRG00000024648.1)". Lineage: Eukaryota; Metazoa; Chordata; Mammalia; Rodentia; Cricetidae. The record is from RNAcentral.
CUAUGUGUGAGCACUCCAUACCGAAGUCUACUGGUCUUGCUUUCUUGUCCAGAGCAAAUGGUGGACUAUACACAGAUGGUUUCCAGUUUUUCAUCUCAUCGCCAAGACUGAGUGAUUGGAUAGCAAGCCUGUCAAUUUCUGGAAGGGGAAAGAUAGAGGAAGCAUUGUGGACGCCCUGGCCAGUUUUCAGGACCAAUGAGACCAGCAAAAAGCUAGACAGUGCCAACUACAGACAGCCCUCAUGCUUUCAACCUACUAGGCUGGACAAUCCUCUUAGGCCACCAUGACCUCCACUCUUUUCCCCACUACAUUUGACACAGGAAGAGAAAAGAG